AGUGAACGCUGGCGGUAGGCCUAACACAUGCCAGUCGAACGGCAGCACAGUAAGAGCUUGCUCUUACGGGUGGCGAGUGGCGGACGGGUGAGGAAUACAUCGGAAUCUACUUUUUCGUGGGGGAUAACGUAGGGAAACUUACGCUAAUACCGCAUACGACCUACGGGUGAAAGCAGGGGAUCUUCGGACCUUGCGCGAUUGAAUGAGCCGAUGUCGGAUUAGCUAGUUGGCGGGGUAAAGGCCCACCGAGGCGACGAUCCGUAGCUGGUCUGAGAGGAUGAUCAGCCACACUGGAACUGAGACACGGUCGAGACUCCUACGGGAGGCAGCAGUGGGGAAUAUUGGACAAUGGGCGCAAGCCUGAUCCAGCCAUACCGCGUGGGUGAAGAAGGCCUUCGGGUUGUAAAGCCCUUUUGUUGGGAAAGAAAAGCAGCAGGUUAAUACCCCGCUGUUCUGACGGUACCCAAAGAAUAAGCACCGGCUAACUUCGUG
This 492-nucleotide ribosomal RNA is filed under the name uncultured bacterium. RNAcentral's name for it is "partial 16S ribosomal RNA". It matches the Rfam family "Bacterial small subunit ribosomal RNA", at positions 29 to 507 of the family's 1533-position model. The record is from RNAcentral.